This 406-nucleotide ribosomal RNA is filed under the name uncultured bacterium. RNAcentral's name for it is "partial 16S ribosomal RNA". It matches the Rfam family "Bacterial small subunit ribosomal RNA", at positions 30 to 526 of the family's 1533-position model. The record is from RNAcentral.
AUUGAACGCUGGCGGCAGGCCUAACACAUGCAAGUCGAGCGAGCGGCGGACGGGUGAGUAAUGUCUGGGAAACUGCCUGAUGGAGGGGGAUAACUACUGGAAACGGUAGCUAAUACCGCAUACAGUCAGAUGUGCCCAGAUGGGAUUAGCUAGUAGGUGGGGUAAUGGCUUACCUAUGCGACGAUCCCUAGCUGGUCUGAGAGGAUGAUCAGCCACACUAGAGCUGCGACACGGUCCAGACUCCGACGGGAGGCAGCAGUGGGGAAUAUUGCACGAUGGGCGCAAGCCUGAUGCAGCCAUGCCGGGUGUGGGAAGAAGUCCUUCGGGUUGUAAAGCACUUUCAGCGGGGAGGCGUUACCCGAAGAAGAAGCACCGGCUAACUCCGUGACAGCAGCCGCGGUAAUAC